RNAcentral lists this ribosomal RNA (492 nucleotides) under uncultured bacterium. RNAcentral describes it as "partial 16S ribosomal RNA". It matches the Rfam family "Bacterial small subunit ribosomal RNA", at positions 29 to 507 of the family's 1533-position model. The record is from RNAcentral.
AGUGAACGCUGGCGGUAGGCCUAACACAUGCAAGUCGAACGGCAACACAGUAAGAGCUUGCUCUUACGGGUGGCGAGUGGCGGACGGGUGAGGAAUACAUCGGAAUCUACUUUUUCGUGGGGGUUAACGUAGGGAAACUUACGCUAAUACCGCAUACGACCUACGGGUGAAAGCAGGGGAUCUUCGGACCUUGCGCGACUGAAUGAGCCGAUGUCGGAUUAGCUAGUUGGCGGGGUAAAGGCCCACCAAGGCGACGAUCCGUAGCUGGUCUGAGAGGAUGAUCAGCCAGACUGGAACUGAGACAGGGUCCAGACUCCUACGGGAGGCAGCAGUGGGGAAUAUUGGACAAUGGGCGCAAGCCUGAUCCAGCCAUACCGCGUGGGUGAAGAAGGCCUUCGGGUUGUAAAGCCAUUUUGUUGGGAAAGAAAAGCAGCAGGUUAAUACCCCGCUGUUCUGACGGUACCCAAAGAAUAAGCACCGGCUAACUUCGUG